GUGAUUCUAAACUGUUGGACGCCAAACCUUCACCUCUUUGCCACACCAGAACACACUGAUAAAAGUCAUAAGAGGGUGAGAAAGUGUCGUGCAAGCUCACUUCUCUUCUCUGAAUUUUUUCUGAUUUGUUUCAUUGAUUUUCCUCACAGAUUUUUCUCUCUUUCUUUCUUUCUUUCUCUCUUUCUCUAUGAAUUUUUCUUUCUUUUUUCUGAGAUAAAUGAGCUCGAC
Molecule: long non-coding RNA, 228 nt
Filed under: Brassica rapa (field mustard)
Lineage: Eukaryota; Viridiplantae; Streptophyta; Magnoliopsida; Brassicales; Brassicaceae
Description: long non-coding RNA (BRAP_LNC002572)
Source: RNAcentral